GCUUACGGCCAUACCACCCUGAGCAUGCCCAAUCUUGUCCGAUCUCGGAAGCUAAGCAGGGUCAGGCCUGAUUAGUACUUGAAUGGGAGACCGCCUGGAAAUACCAGGUGCUGUAAGCU
This 119-nucleotide ribosomal RNA is filed under the name Carassius auratus (goldfish). Lineage: Eukaryota; Metazoa; Chordata; Actinopteri; Cypriniformes; Cyprinidae. The record is from RNAcentral.